Molecule: ribosomal RNA, 203 nt
Filed under: uncultured bacterium
Lineage: Bacteria
Description: partial 16S ribosomal RNA
Rfam family: Bacterial small subunit ribosomal RNA
Source: RNAcentral
ACGCUCGACACCUACGAGAGGCAGCAGUGGGGAAUAUUGCACAAUGGGGGAAACCCUGAUGCAGCGACGCCGCGUGAGCGAAGAAGUAUUUCGGUAUGUAAAGCUCUAUCAGCAGGGAAGAAAUUGACGGUACCUGACUAAGAAGCACCGGCUAAAUACGUGCCAGCAGCCGCGGUAAUCUGAGGCCGGGCGUGGACGAAGGC